Molecule: ribosomal RNA, 344 nt
Filed under: uncultured soil bacterium
Lineage: Bacteria
Description: bacterial SSU rRNA
Rfam family: Bacterial small subunit ribosomal RNA
Source: RNAcentral
AGAACGAACGCUGGCGGCAUGCCUAACACAUGCAAGUCGAACGAGACCUUCGGGUCUAGUGGCGCACGGGUGCGUAACGCGUGGGAAUCUGCCCUUGGGUUCGGAAUAGCAGUUGGGAAACGACUGCUAAUACCGGAUGAUGACGUAAGUCCAAAGAUUUAUCGCCCAGGGAUGAGCCCGCGUAGGAUUAGCUAGUUGGUGAGGUAAGGCUCACAAGGCGACGAUCCUUAGCUGGUCUGAGAGGAUGAUCAGCCACACGUGGGACUGAGACCGACCGGCCCAGACCUCCGUACGGGAGGCGACGACGAGGUAAGGGUAAUAUUGGAACAAGUGGGACGAAAGCC